This 540-nucleotide long non-coding RNA is filed under the name Fukomys damarensis (Damara mole-rat). RNAcentral's name for it is "lncRNA (ENSFDAG00000027303.1)". The record is from RNAcentral. Lineage: Eukaryota; Metazoa; Chordata; Mammalia; Rodentia; Bathyergidae.
CUCUUUUCCUCUGUGACCCAGAUGAAGAAUAGAUUCAAAAAAGCUCAGUUCCUCCCUUGGCAAUGCAAGACAGAAAAAGAAACUGUCACUUCCAAACAGGCUAGUACCGGAGUAAAAGCAUGAAGGAGGACAGCGCUCCUGGGGCUUAAGCCAUCCGGAGGAGAGCAGGACUGAGCACAGGAGGGGAACUUCAGGAAAAGGAGAUUCUUCAAGCAGUCCGCCCGGGAAAUGGAAUAUGUAAAAUCGCCUUUGCAGAAAGACAGCCUGCAUAAAAGCAAGUGGAAUGGCACCUGGAGGAUAUCUGCUUGGUCAGUUAGGAUAAUAUUUAUGAAGAAAGCUCGGUCUUAAUCAAAAGCCAAAUGCAGAGUUUUCCAAGGAGCUCCUGCGGAAAUAGCCACCCUUCUGAAGAGAAAACACAGGAGCUAGAGAUACCUUAGAGAAUGAACAGUAGAGGUAAGGAUUGUUUAAGCCUAAUGUAUCAUAUGUCUCCAGGGUAAGGGCCUAGAGGAAGGCCUGGGUUAAGACAGGACACAAUAACAG